Molecule: ribosomal RNA, 505 nt
Filed under: uncultured bacterium
Lineage: Bacteria
Description: partial 16S ribosomal RNA
Rfam family: Bacterial small subunit ribosomal RNA
Source: RNAcentral
GACGAACGCUGGCGGCGUGCCUAAUACAUGCAAGUGGGACGCAAGGAAACACACUGUGCUUGCACACCGUGUUUUCUUGAGUCGCGAACGGGUGAGUAACGCGUAGGUAACCUGCCUAUUAGCGGGGGAUAACUAUUGGAAACGAUAGCUAAUACCGCAUAAUAUUAAUUAUUGCAUGAUAAUUGAUUGAAAGAUGCAAGCGCAUCACUAGUAGAUGGACCUGCGUUGUAUUAGCUAGUUGGUAAGGUAAGAGCUUACCAAGGCGACGAUACAUAGCCGACCGGGGAGGGUGGUCGGCCAAACUGGGACUGAGACACGGCCCAGACUCCUACGGGAGGCAGCAGUAGGGAAUCUUCGGCAAUGGACGAAAGUCUGACCGAGCAACGCCGCGUGAGUGAAGAAGGUUUUCGGAUCGUAAAGCUCUGUUGUAAGUCAAGAACGUGUGUGAGAGUGGAAAGUUCACACAGUGACGGUAGCUGACCAGAAAGGGACGGCUAACUACGUG